AACGAACGCUGGCGGCAGGCUUAACACAUGCAAGUCGAGCGCCCCGCAAGGGGAGCGGCAGACGGGUGAGUAACGCGUGGGAAUCUACCCAUCUCUACGGAAUAACUCAGGGAAACUUGUGCUAAUACCGUAUACGCCCUUCGGGGAAAGAUUUAUCGGAGAUGGAUGAGCCCGCGUUGGAUUAGCUAGUUGGUGGGGUA
This 200-nucleotide ribosomal RNA is filed under the name uncultured bacterium. Its description in RNAcentral is "partial 16S ribosomal RNA". It matches the Rfam family "Bacterial small subunit ribosomal RNA", at positions 29 to 259 of the family's 1533-position model. The record is from RNAcentral.